ACUUAAAUAGCUUAUAUAGAGUAUAAUAUUGAAGAUAUUAGGGAAACAUUAUUGUUUUUAAGUA
RNAcentral lists this transfer RNA (64 nucleotides) under Amphiops globus. RNAcentral's name for it is "tRNA-Phe". Lineage: Eukaryota; Metazoa; Arthropoda; Insecta; Coleoptera; Hydrophilidae. The record is from RNAcentral.